Molecule: long non-coding RNA, 1074 nt
Filed under: Felis catus (domestic cat)
Lineage: Eukaryota; Metazoa; Chordata; Mammalia; Carnivora; Felidae
Description: lncRNA (ENSFCAG00000050264.1)
Source: RNAcentral
AUGUGGCCCGACAGUGUUGGGCCACCGCCCGGGGAGCGUGGCGUGUGUCCCUGGCUGCCACCUGCCGGCGCCUCAUGGGGCUCUGCUCUCUGGACUCUGCUCUUGCUGUUUCCCACGUCAGGAGCCCCCCACUCCCACGUCGGGAGCCCCCCUCCACUCCCACAUCAGGAGCUGCCCCCCCUACAUCAGGAGCCCCCCCCGCACUCCCACGACAGAAGCCCCACCCCUGCACUCCCACGUCAGGAGCCCCCCCACUCCCAGUCAGGAGCCCCCCCCCGCAGUCCCACGUCAGGAAGCCCCCCCCACUCCCACGUCAGGAAGCCCCCCCCACUCCCACGUCAGGAGCCCCCCACUCCCACGUCAGGAGCCCCCCCAUGUCAGGAGCCCCCCCACUCCCACUCCUACAUCAGAGCCCCCCCACUCCCAGUCAGGAGCCCCCCCCACAUCAGGAGCCCCCCACUCCCACGUCAGGAGCUGCCCCCCCAUGUCAGGAGCCCCCCCACAUCAGGAGCCCCCCCCCCGCACUCCCACGACAGGAGCCCCACCCCUGCACUCCCACGUCAGGAGCCCCCCACUCCCACUCCCAUGUCAGGAGCCUCCCCCCACUCCCACUCCCACUCCCACAUCAGGAGCCCCCCCACUCCACGUCAGGAGCCCCCCCACUCCCACGUUCAGGAGCCCCCCCUGCAGUCCCACAUCAGGAGCCCCCCCACUCCCACAUCAGGAGCCCCCCCACAUCAGGAGCCCCCCCACUCCCACGUCAGGAGCUGCCCCCCGCACGUCAGGACCCCCCCUCCCCGCACUCCCACGACAGGAGCCCCACCCCUGCACUCCCACGUCAGGAGCCCCCCACUCCCACUCCCACGUCAGGAAGCCCCCCCCACUCCACGUCAGGAGCCCCCCCAUGUCAGGAGCCUGCCCCCACUCCCACUCCCACAUCAGAGCCCCCCCUCCCAUAGCUGCCCUUAUCCAUCACCGGUCUUUGCUCGUGUGGCCUUCUUCCUUCGCCCCCACACCCAUGGCCCCAACGCCCCUGGACCUAGCUGGCACCUGACAACCUCCUGUCACUGCUGA